This is a non-coding RNA of Triticum urartu, 1661 nucleotides long. The record is from RefSeq and is a predicted model, not a curated record. NCBI's taxonomy places the organism in Eukaryota, Viridiplantae, Streptophyta, Magnoliopsida, Poales, Poaceae.
UACAGGAAAAAAACGAUUCUACAUACGCCCGUCUCUCUAUCCCCACGAGAACACGAACCAUCCCGGCCACCCGGCGCUAGGGUUCCCUCCGCCGCCACGCCCCAUCCCUCCGCUCCCAGCAACCCUCUCCACCCUCUCCCAUCCCCAGUCGUCGUCGUAGCCCCUCGCCGGCGUUCGAUAUCCAAGACGGAGCCUCGGCCGACAGCUCCUUGGAGCACGCCGCCCGCCGGUGGAUGCCCUGAUUCUGCGCGACCCCGCCGGAGACUCACCUCGCCACCUUGGCGCCUCCCGCAGGAUCUCCGCCACCGCCUAGCGCUUCUGUGCGCAAGGAUGUCGACGCCUCUCCCUGAUUCAAUGAUGACAACACGCACACCUUUCCCUGAUGCUUGGGCAAAGGCAUGUAUGUCCGAUGUGCAGGCAAAACUUUAUAGAUGCAGAUUACAUACAUUAGAAAUUGCCAACUCGGUGGAUGAUAAAUACUAUGACUUGGGACUCAGAAAAAAGAUCAACACGUAGAUGCAGAUUACAUAGAUCAGGACUUGCUAACUCGGCGUAUGACACAUACUAAACGACAUCAACACGUAGGUGAGACCAUUGACUAUUAGAGGUGAGUCGGCAAGCUGUUUUCUUCCAUGGUUUGGCAUGUAACUUUGUGUUCUCUAGCUCAUUUUAGUUUUAUAUUUUUCUAACAAACAAGACCAACCUUAACUUAAGAAGAAUAGCAUCAUUAUAACCAUGAAAAAAAUCUGCUUAAAUGUAAGGCUUUUGUUCGUCUAUUAAGUCAUUACCCGUCUAAAUGAGACACGAAAAUAAUGAAUUCUUACAUGGUAAGUUUUUGUUUCAUUUUCAUUCUUUGCCUUAUCCCGUGUUGGAAAAGAAGUUCAAUUGUUUUUUUCCUCACAAUGUACCAAAGAUUCUGAUGAAAGAUGCUUAUUUUUCUCUCAGCUUCAAGAAACAGUCACUAUAUACUCUGUUUUGUAUAUAUUAUGUAGUUGUAAGGAGAUGUUUUAUUUUCUUUAUAUGCUACUAUUUUAACAUCUUGGAAGAGUCCUGAAUUUAUUGGAGACAACAAAGUGGGCGCACCAUGUGAGUUAUUUGGCACCUUGAUGCAGCAAAUCAACACAUGUUUGAGCUACAACGGAGGUCACAUAAAUAAAUCAGAGGAAUAGACUCGGCAAGGAAGGGAGCUACUCCAGUGUAGUCGGUGGAAUUGACUGGCAAAGUAAAUCAUGAAUCUCCUGGUUGGACCAAGAGGCUAAGAAUUGGGGCUGCACCUCCUACAACAGUUAGUUUCAUCGGUGGCCCGCCAACAACACUGGUGAAGGAAUGAGGGUGGCCCGAGACCGAUAACAGGGGGCUCUUGAACUGGCAAAGCCAGAAGCCACCAUCGCUUCAUUGUCCCUGGAGAUCGUUUGGUGAUGUCCGAUGGAUAUCACGUGACGGAGUGGAGACGCACACUCCCCUGCCCCAACUUUGGUGGCGCCACCUACCAAUGCGGGGCACAGUCCUGCCUGCCCCGGCCUACAUCUUGAUUGUAAAUUUCUCUCACCUUCUAUCUCGUGUUCAUGUGGUCGUAUUGAUUUUGCCUUUUGAGAAGUGUUGAAAGAAGAUUAUGUGCUUCAGACGACUGAAUGUCCAGUAAUAUCAUCAACCUUCAGCCA